Molecule: long non-coding RNA, 255 nt
Organism: Poecile atricapillus (Black-capped chickadee)
Lineage: Eukaryota; Metazoa; Chordata; Aves; Passeriformes; Paridae
Exons: 3
Source: RefSeq, a predicted model, not a curated record
CCAGGUGUCCCCAGGUGUGUCCAGGUGUCCCCAGGUGUGUCCCAGGUGUCCCCAAGUGUCCCCAGGUGUGUCCCAGGUGUCCCCAGGUGUAUCUCAGGUGUCCCCAGGUGUCCCCAGGUGUGUCCCCAGGUGACUCCAGGUGUGUCCCCAGGUGUCCCCAGGUGUCCCCAGGUGUCCCCAGGUGUAUCUCAGGUGUCCCCAGGUGUAUCUCAGGUGUCCCCAGGUGUCCCCAGGUGUCCCCAGGUGUAUCUCAGG